RNAcentral lists this ribosomal RNA (468 nucleotides) under uncultured bacterium. Its description in RNAcentral is "partial 16S ribosomal RNA". It matches the Rfam family "Bacterial small subunit ribosomal RNA", at positions 28 to 507 of the family's 1533-position model. The record is from RNAcentral.
GACGAACGCUGGCGGCGUGCUUAACACAUGCAAGUCGAACGGAAAGGCCCUGCUUUUGUGGGGUGCUCGAGUGGCGAACGGGUGAGUAACACGUGAGUAACCUGCCCUUGACUUUGGGAUAACUUCAGGAAACUGGGGCUAAUACCGGAUAGGAGCUCCUGCUGCAUGGUGGGGGUUGGAAAGUUUCGGCGGUUGGGGAUGGACUCGCGGCUUAUCAGCUUGUUGGUGGGGUAGUGGCUUACCAAGGCUUUGACGGGUAGCCGGCCUGAGAGGGUGACCGGCCACAUUGGGACUGAGAUACGGCCCAGACUCCUACGGGAGGCAGCAGUGGGGAAUAUUGCACAAUGGGCGGAAGCCUGAUGCAGCAACGCCGCGUGCGGGAUGACGGCCUUCGGGUUGUAAACCGCUUUCGCCCGUGACGAAGCGCGAGUGACGGUAAUGGGUAAAGAAGCACCGGCUAACUACGUG